Molecule: ribosomal RNA, 692 nt
Filed under: uncultured bacterium
Lineage: Bacteria
Description: bacterial SSU rRNA
Rfam family: Bacterial small subunit ribosomal RNA
Source: RNAcentral
ACGGAUAACAUACCGAAAGGUAUGCUAAUACGGGAUAAUAUAUUUGAGAGGCAUCUCUUAAAUAUCAAAGGUGAGCCAGUACAGGAUGGACCCGCGUCUGAUUAGCUAGUUGGUAAGGUAACGGCUUACCAAGGCGACGAUCAGUAGCCGACCUGAGAGGGUGAUCGGCCACAUUGGAACUGAGACACGGUCCAAACUCCUACGGGAGGCAGCAGUGGGGAAUAUUGCACAAUGGGCGAAAGCCUGAUGCAGCAACGCCGCGUGAGUGAUGAAGGCCUUCGGGUCGUAAAACUCUGUCCUCAAGGAAGAUAAUGACGGUACUUGAGGAGGAAGCCCCGGCUAACUACGUGCCAGCAGCCGCGGUAAUACGUAGGGGGCUAGCGUUAUCCGGAUUUACUGGGCGUAAAGGGUGCGUAGGCGGUCUUUCAAGUCAGGAGUGAAAGGCUACGGCUCAACCGUAGUAAGCUCUUGAAACUGGGAGACUUGAGUGCAGGAGAGGAGAGUGGAAUUCCUAGUGUAGCGGUGAAAUGCGUAGAUAUUAGGAGGAACACCAGUUGCGAAGGCGGCUCUCUGGACUGUAACUGACGCUGAGGCACGAAAGCGUGGGGAGCAAACAGGAUUAGAUACCCUGGUAGUCCACGCUGUAAACGAUGAGUACUAGGUGUCGGGGGUUACCCCCCUCGGUGCCGCAG